GAUGAACGCUGGCGGCGUGCCUAAUACAUGCAAGUAGAACGCUGAAGAGAGGAGCUUGCUCUUCUUGGAUGAGUUGCGAACGGGUGAGUAACGCGUAGGUAACCUGCCUUGUAGCGGGGGAUAACUAUUGGAAACGAUAGCUAAUACCGCAUAACAAUGGAUGACACAUGUCAUUUAUUUGAAAGGGGCAAUUGCUCCACUACAAGAUGGACCUGCGUUGUAUUAGCUAGUUGGUGAGGUAACGGCUCACCAAGGCAACGAUACAUAGCCGACCUGAGAGGGUGAUCGGCCACACUGGGACUGAGACACGGCCCAGACUCCUACGGGAGGCAGCAGUAGGGAAUCUUCGGCAAUGGGGGCAACCCUGACCGAGCAACGCCGCGUGAGUGAAGAAGGUUUUCGGAUCGUAAAGCUCUGUUGUAAGAGAAGAACGAGUGUGAGAGUGGAAAGUUCACACUGUGACG
RNAcentral lists this ribosomal RNA (464 nucleotides) under Streptococcus sp. oral taxon C65. RNAcentral describes it as "bacterial SSU rRNA". It matches the Rfam family "Bacterial small subunit ribosomal RNA", at positions 28 to 474 of the family's 1533-position model. The record is from RNAcentral. Lineage: Bacteria; Bacillati; Bacillota; Bacilli; Lactobacillales; Streptococcaceae.